This 253-nucleotide ribosomal RNA is filed under the name uncultured bacterium. RNAcentral describes it as "partial 16S ribosomal RNA". It matches the Rfam family "Bacterial small subunit ribosomal RNA", at positions 524 to 776 of the family's 1533-position model. The record is from RNAcentral.
GACAGAGGCCUCGAGCGUUAGGCGGAAUCACUGGGCUUAAAGCGUGUGUAGGCGGAGGCGUAAGUACCUUGUGAAAUCCCACGGCUCAACCGUGGAACUGCUGGGUAUACUGCGUCUCUUGAGUCACUCAGGGGCGAGCAGAACAGAUGGUGGAGCGGUGAAAUGCGUAGAAAUCAUCUGGAAUGCCAAUGGUGAAGACAGCUCGCUGGGGGUGUACUGACGCUGAGACACGAAAGCCAGGGGAGCGAACGGG